GUGAGGAAUAUUGCGCAAUGGCCGAAAGGCUGACGCAGCGACGCCGCGUGAGGGAUGAAGUCCGUUAGGAUGUAAACCUCUUUUGCAGGGGAUGAAUGUCCCGUUUGACGGGAUUGACAGUACCCUGCGAAUAAGGAUCGGCUAACUACGUGCCAGCAGCCGCGGUAAUACGUAGGAUCCGAGCGUUGUCCGGAAUUACUGGGUGUAAAGGGCGUGUAGGUGGGUUCCUAAGUCGAUGGUGAAAUCCUGCAGCUUAACUGCAGAACUGCCUUCGAUACUGGGGAUCUUGAGUGCGGCAGAGGGAGAUGGAAUUCAUGGUGUAGCGGUGAAAUGUGUAGAUAUCAUGAAGAACACCGGUAGCGAAGGCGGUCUCCUGGUCCGCAACUGACACUGAGGCGCGAAAGCGUGGGGAGCAAACAGGAUUAGAUACCCGGGUAGUCC
This 441-nucleotide ribosomal RNA is filed under the name uncultured bacterium. RNAcentral describes it as "bacterial SSU rRNA". It matches the Rfam family "Bacterial small subunit ribosomal RNA", at positions 354 to 796 of the family's 1533-position model. The record is from RNAcentral.